This 1492-nucleotide ribosomal RNA is filed under the name metagenome. RNAcentral describes it as "bacterial SSU rRNA". It matches the Rfam family "Bacterial small subunit ribosomal RNA". The record is from RNAcentral.
AGAGUUUGAUCCUGGCUCAGAUUGAACGCUGGCGGCAUGCUUUACACAUGCAAGUCGAACGGUAACGCGGGGGCAACCCUGGCGACGAGUGGCGAACGGGUGAGUAAUACAUCGGAACAUAUCCAGUAGCGGGGGAUAACCUAUCGAAAGAUGGACUAAUACCGCAUACGAUCUACGGAUGAAAGCAGGGGACCGCAAGGCCUUGCACUAUUGGAGUGGCCGAUGUCGGAUUAGCUAGUUGGUGGGGUAAAAGCUUACCAAGGCGACGAUCCGUAGCUGGUCUGAGAGGACGAUCAGCCACACUGGAACUGAGACACGGUCCAGACUCCUACGGGAGGCAGCAGUGGGGAAUUUUGGACAAUGGGCGCAAGCCUGAUCCAGCCAUGCCGCGUGAGUGAAGAAGGCCUUCGGGUUGUAAAGCUCUUUCGGUGAAGACGAAACGGUUCAUGCUAACAACGUGAACUAAUGACGGUACUCACAGAAGAAGCACCGGCUAACUACGUGCCAGCAGCCGCGGUAAUACGUAGGGUGCAGGCGUUAAUCGGAAUUACUGGGCGUAAAGCGUGCGCAGGCGGUUUGCUAAGACAGGUGUGAAAUCCCCGGGCUUAACCUGGGAAUUGCGCUUGUAACUGGCAAGCUAGAGUGUGGCAGAGGGGGGUGGAAUUCCACGUGUAGCAGUGAAAUGCAUAGAUAUGUGGAGGAACACCGAUGGCGAAGGCAGCCCCCUGGGUUAACACUGACGCUCAUGCACGAAAGCGUGGGGAGCAAACAGGAUUAGAUACCCUGGUAGUCCACGCCCUAAACUAUGUCAACUAGUUGUCGGGGAAGAAAUUCCUUGGUAACGAAGCUAACGCGUGAAGUUGACCGCCUGGGGAGUACGGCUGCAAGGUUAAAACUCAAAGGAAUUGACGGGGACCCGCACAAGCGGUGGAUUAUGUGGAUUAAUUCGAUGCAGCGCGAAAAACCUACCUACCCUUGACAUGCUAGGAAGCCCGCAGAGAUGUGGGUGUGCCCGAAAGGGAACCUAGACACAGGUGCUGCAUGGCUGUCGUCAGCUCGUGUCGUGAGAUGUUGGGUUAAGUCCCGCAACGAGCGCAACCCUUGCCAUUAGUUGCUACAUUCAGUUGGGCACUCUAAUGGGACCGCCGGUGACAAACCGGAGGAAGGUGGGGAUGACGUCAAGUCCUCAUGGCCCUUAUGGGUAGGGCUUCACACGUAAUACAAUGGUCGGUACAGAGGGCUGCCAACCCGCAAGGGGGAGCUAAUCCCAGAAAGCCGAUCGUAGUCCGGAUUGUAGUCUGCAACUCGACUGCAUGAAGCCGGAAUCGCUAGUAAUCGCGGAUCAGCAUGUCGCGGUGAAUACGUUCCCGGGUCUUGUACACACCGCCCGUCACACCAUGGGAGUGGGUUCCACCAGAAGUAGUUAGCCUAACCGCAAGGAGGGCGAUUACCACGGUGAGAUUCAUGACUGGGGUGAAGUCGUAACAAGGUA